Non-coding RNA from Pelobates cultripes (western spadefoot toad), 314 nucleotides. The record is from the annotation of a GenBank genome assembly. Lineage: Eukaryota; Metazoa; Chordata; Amphibia; Anura; Pelobatidae.
GGGAUGGGGUGACUAGUGACAGAGAGGGGGAUGGGGUGACUAGGGACAGAGGGGGUGAUUAGUGACAGUGAGUGAGGGGGUGACUAGUGACAGAGUGAGGGAGCGGGUGACACAGUGACAGAGUUAGGGAGGGAGUGACUAGUGACAGAGAGAGGGAUGGGGUGACUAGUGACAGUCACCCCCUCCCUCCCUCUGUCACUAGUCACUCCCUCCUUCUGUCACUAGUCACUCCCUCCCUCCCUCUGUCACCAGUCAUCCCCUCCUUCUGUCACCAGUCAUCCCCUCCCUCUGUCACUAGUCACCUCUUCCCUCCC